CCAAGCUCGGUCCGUGCCCCCCGGGGGUCACAGGCUGCUGGGGGAGAAACGGACACCAGGUUGGGCCCCAUGGCUGGAGUCGGUGUCCUGCAUCGUUCAGCGGAGAGCUAGCCCCGCUCUGUAGUCCUGGGAACGGCAGGACAGAAGAGAGAAGACUAACGAGAACCGCAACCCUCGGGCUCAGCGCGCGGAAAGCCAGACGCUUCCCCGCACCAGCGUCCACCGCCGGCCACCUGCAGGGAACGGGCAAGUGGAAGGCACAGGUCUCCGCGGCGCUUACGGAGGAAAAGGAGGGUUCAAUGCAGAGACCACCAAUCAGAACUCGAACCCUCUGGUCCAGCUGCCCAAUGGGAAGGAGGAUCUUCGGUAGCCCGGACGACCACGCGGUACCAGGGGGUCUCGCGCAGGCGCGUGAGGUUGGGCUCCAAACUCACCGUGCUCCACGUAAGUGAUAAAUGCCAGGGACAGCAGCACCGCAGCCAGAUGGAAGCUGAAGCCCUGGUGGGGCCCCAGGGGGCAAUGAGGUAGAUCAGGAUGGUGACGGAGAGGAAGACGCCUCGAUGGGAGGAAUGUCGGCAGAGG
Long non-coding RNA from Eptesicus fuscus (big brown bat), 582 nucleotides. RefSeq lists it as uncharacterized. The record is from RefSeq and is a predicted model, not a curated record. The transcript is spliced from 3 exons. Lineage: Eukaryota; Metazoa; Chordata; Mammalia; Chiroptera; Vespertilionidae.